Cyprinus carpio (common carp) is the source of this 1139-nucleotide long non-coding RNA. The record is from Ensembl. Lineage: Eukaryota; Metazoa; Chordata; Actinopteri; Cypriniformes; Cyprinidae.
GAGAGUAUAAGGUAUGAAAACCUGUUUUUUUUAUCCUUUUUAAAGAAGAGUUUUUUUCUUCUAAUAUUAGCAAUUUUGUUCUUUCAUCAAAGGCUGAGACCAAAGAAAACUACAUCUCCAGCACCGUCCAGCACAUCUCUGAAAAGUGACCAGUCACUGGAUCAACCGAUAUGGUUCAAAGAUGGAGCACAAAGUAUAAGGUAGAUUACUGAGUAAUGCAUAAUAAACACAGACCCACACACACACAUAUAUACAUACACACAAGGGUAAUAAAUUGUGUAUUGUUUAUUUUAUCAGUCUGGUUCCUAAAAACUAGCCAGAAAGUUCUGAACAUUUCAAAAGCAACAAUGCAAGUGUAACUAUUCAGUUCUUAACAUGAACACAACAAUUACACAGCCAGACACCUUACAGUUAAAUUCUAAUUUUGAAUAACUUUAGAGGCAAAUUUAAUUCUGUUCAAAAAUGAAAUAGAGAGUACAAGGUAAGAAAACCUGUUUUUUAUCCUUUUAAAAGAGGAUUUUUUUCUUCUAAUAGCAAUGUUGUUCUUUUAUCAAAGGCUGAGACCAAAGAAAACUACAUCUCCAGCACCGUCCAGCACAUCUCUGAAAAGUGACCAGUCACUGGAUCAACCGAUAUGGUUCAAAGAUGGAGCACAGAGUAUAAGGCUGAGACCAAAGAAAACUACAUCUCCAGCACCAUCCAGCACAUCUCUGAAAAGUGACCAAUCACUGGAUCAACCGAUAUGGUUCAAAGAUGGAGCACAGAGUAUAAGGCUGAGACCAAAGAAAACUACAUCUCCAGCACCGUCCAGCACAUCUCUGAAAAGUGACCAGUCACUGGAUCAACCGAUAUGGUUCAAAGAUGGAGCACAAAGUAUAAGGCUGAGACCAAAGAAAACUACAUCUCCAGCACCGUCCAGCACAUCUCUGAAAAGUGACCAGUCACUGGAUCAACCGAUAUGGUUCAAAGAUGGAGCACAGAGUAUAAGGCUGAGACCAAAGAAAACUACAUCUCCAGCACCGUCCAGCACAUCUCUGAAAAGUGACCAGUCACUGGAUCAACCGAUAUGGUUCAAAGAUGGAGCACAGAGUAUAAGGUAGAUUACUGAGUAAUGCAUAAUAAACACAGACCCACACACA